AUGGUCCUAAAUCCAAUGACAGGUGUCCUUUUAAGGAGGGGACGACACAGAGACACACAGGGGAGAAAGCCACGUGAGAAGAGAGGCAAAGACCACAAAUGUCUGGAACCACAAGCGGCUGCAAGAGGCAAGGUCUCCAUUCUAAAAGCAAACCCUUGGGGGACCUCAGUGGCUCUGUCGGUUAAGCAUCUAUCUUCUGCUCCGGUUGUGAUCAUGGGGUGCUGGGAUGAAGGCUGGCAUCGGGCUCCCUGCUCAGCGGGGAGUCUGCUCUCACUCCCUCUGUCCUUGCCCUCCAACUCAUGCUUUCUCUCUCUCUCAAGUAAAUAAAUGAAAUCCUUUAAAAAUAAAAAUAAAUGAAGGCAAAUCCUUAGAGUUAGCCAGUCAUCCUCAAGUAGGCAGAGUAACAGUUGCAUGGGGGUGCUCCUUAGCCCCCAGGUUUGAAUAACAUGAAUGUACUGGCUGCUGCAUGUAAUGUUAGCUCGAGAGGUCUGUGGGUAUCAUUGUUCUGAAGAAGACAGCACAGAAAAAUCACUGAACACUGUAACUAGAGUCAAAAGAUCUGCAAUUCAAUUUGUACUUUGCUAACAUCAGAUUAUUUUUACCUUGGGAAUGUUUGCAAGUUUCACUUCACCUCAGUGGCGUAUCUGGGCAAUAAGAACAUUGGGGUAAAUAAACUCGAAGAUUCCAAGAUUCUGUUCUCCCACUGAUGUUUGAAUGGCCCAUUUGAAGGGCAUUGGUGUGUUCAUUGCUCGGUACUGGAGCAUAUAUAUCAGAGUCAUACCAAGCCAUCCUAAGCGCUAAAUAGUGAUACAAGGAGUCCAGUUCUUGCCAAAAUAACUAUCACAAAGAUCAUGAUUGUAUUAAACAGAAGCAAUUGCUCUAGGAGCCUACCUCGGUGUUUUAGCUGAAUGAAACACUUAUUAUUAUAUGAACUACCACCUUGACACAAAAGGUUUUAAUUAAAGGCGAUAAAAU
RNAcentral lists this long non-coding RNA (975 nucleotides) under Mustela putorius furo (domestic ferret). RNAcentral's name for it is "lncRNA (ENSMPUG00000029733.1)". Lineage: Eukaryota; Metazoa; Chordata; Mammalia; Carnivora; Mustelidae. The record is from RNAcentral.